UAUGAUAAUUUCUUGUCUUCUCCAGGGGCCAGGGGCCUUGCUUAUAUAGUCCUCCUCCUCUGUGCGUUUUUGGUUCAGCAGGCGAUGUGGUACUAAACUUUCCACCAUAUCUCAUUAAAAUGCACAUAGGCCUUAAUGGACCAAAAUCUGAUUUGGGCCCAAUUAAUCCCGCAGCUCUUUUAUGUGGAGUCCUUGUUUUAUUAAUAUCUUUUGAUUCCGAACAAAUAUAGCAAGUAAUAUAUGCAUUUCAAUCAGCUCGACGAGAUCUUUGCAAUGGUGUACUCCAUUCUGUGAUUGGUGGAAACACCUGGGCGGGCGCCCAAGGGGGGUGGGCGGGCGCCCUGCCCCCAGGCCCGUUUGCAUUCUCGUUCGUUUCCGUGGCUUCUGGAGUCUUCUAGAUGAUAGAAAAUUGUGCGGCACAUUAAUAUCUCUAUGUAAUCCCGACGUGUGGGCCUUUCUUCCUUAUUUCCUGAUAACCCCCUGCAGAAAUAGACAAACACCAAAACUCAUGGAAUUCUGUCAGAUAAAACCCUAAGUCUAGAUGUUGAUUUCAUUUGGAUCCUUUUCUUUAUUUAUUUGAUAAUUAAAUUUGAUACUUAAGGACCGUCAACAAACUCCCCCAAGCUUACCUCUUGCUCGUCCCUGAGCAAGGAUGAACUCAAGAGUUUCUGCAGUGGUUUCAUUUCUUAAAAGUACACACGCAUUCAAGCAAGAUCUCAUCUCUGAGUUAGAAUAAACUGUUAAGACUUAAAACUUACUCAUUUUACCUUUUACCAUGGGGCUUGUAACCGUCACUUGUGUCUUGAGCAGUUAAAAGAUAGAACGGUCAAGUCAAGCGCCAUGUCUCUUAUUCUUGAUCAGCUAUAGCUCUGGGGUUUUUUGCAGAUUUUCAAAUAAAACUCAGAGAUUCCUUAUAUGACUCUCUCAGAUCUCUCUUUUGUGGUAUUUAUGGAUCCUUACCAAGGCAGUAAUGGUAUAUGCCUUCUCUCAAAGUAUGUGGUAUUUUUGGUAUGAGGCAUAGUGAUAUUGCCUUCUCUCUCACCCUACUCUAAUAAAGUUCUGAUAUCUGGAGCUCAUAGGUGGGAGACAGCUAAUACAUACUUACAAGACAUUUAUUGCAUAGUCAAACCAUGGAUCUAGAGAAACAAAUCAAUAAUCAAAUCAAGAUGUGCAUGUGUGGUGAAUGAAUGGUGUAUGGUGAUGAUGGUGAUAAUGAUGGUGAAAGUCUAAUUCUAUUUUUUAUGCUCUUUUGAGGGGAUACAUACAUUUCUUGUACUUUGAAGCUUUUUGGGGAGAAUGAGAUGCUCUAUAUUUUCUUUUUCUUUCCUCUCAGGUGGGUAUCUUGUACCCCUAAUUCUACUGUCGGACACUUGUCCAUUUUUACCUCUCGUCUCACUUUUUCUUUUCUUCGAGGUUCCGGGCACUUGCCCCUUUUUAUUUCCUCGUAUUAUUGUUAUUAUUUUUCUUUCUUUUUCUCUUUCUCUUUUUUUAGAGCACUCAUCUCCUGAAAGAAUGUAGCAAGUGGUAGUAACCAAAAUAACUGGAGCAUUUAUUUCACAGGGAAUAACAGGGAUAGGAAAAUAUUUUUUUUGCUAUUCUCUCCCGGAUUAGGAGUAGAAUAAUUUCGGGUGAAUGUGGAGAUGGAAAUGAGUGGAUGUAUGUGGAUGCGUACUUCCGGAGUAGAAGUAGCAAGUAUGAGUGAACGUGCAAGUGAAUCUUGAUUUUAACCACAUGACAAGCUCCUAAGGGUCUACACAGCUUGACCACACUCAAUGCUCAUAAGUAGUAAAAAGUAAAUAUGUGGCUCAAAGUCUAGCAAGCAUGUAUAUGUGGCUGUGGUAGGAUUUUAAACUCUCAUCAUAUAGGAACUCAUCAUGUAUUAUUUUAAAGAUUUUUUCAAAGAUAAAAUUCUCUAGAAUUCUAGCAUCUCUAGGAACAGAUAAACAGCAGCUCAACCUUCCCAUAUCAUAUCCGUUAACGACUUAGACUUUAGAUCAAGUACUCUUCCCACAAGUUUAGGUUUAGAGCAAGCUUUAAAUUAUAACAGUUAUGCCUAAACUUGAGAGAGAUUUCAAUUUUAAGAACUAGUCAAGGCAGAGCAACUAUUCAUCAUUUCCAUGAGAGAGCUUAUCAUGAGGGUUCAUAGCAAAUUUUAUUUAUUUAUUUAUUUAGCAAACUAAGCAAAGAUAUAUAUAUAAAAGCACAAAAUCUUUAUUUGGGUUUUUCAUAGUUUAUGUAUUUUAAUAUUCUAACAUAAUAUAAGUAUAAAGAUAGGUAGAAAUACUUAGCGAGAUAAAUGGGGGUGCUCUCCCCCAAGCUGAAUUUUGACGUAAUUUCUUCUGAUGUAGCUAGCAGGUGAUGGAGGUGUAUUUGAAAGUCGACAGCACCCCGACAGCGAUUAGGAUGUCCUCCGUCUGCUAGUCUUCUUUGAUCCUUGAAUUCUGUGGAGCUCAAAUAGACAACAAAGCUUUGUGGAACUGGUUAAGUGUUAGCAUAAAUAUCUAGCCUUUAUCAUGUUGAGCCUCCUCAAUAUUACUUAUUUAGCAGGAUCAUGCACUUAUUAUUUUUAUAUUUUUAUUGUAAGAUGAAAACUUAUUUAUUUUAUUUUCAUGCCACCACAGUGAAUGUACUUAUGGGUUUUAUGCCAUGAGCAUACUCACAUGGGGCUUACUAUUUUUUAACAUUUAUUUUCUUUUCAAGAUAGCAUGAACCUGAUUAACUAAGCAAACUAUUGAAUGGAAAAGGAUAACUACCAAGUUUACCUCUUGGCAAGGCGUUCGGUAUUUUUAAGUCCUCCGAACGGGACUCUCCGUUUUCUUAGUCGUCCUGGGAUUCGCUAGGUGGCGUAGUCGGUGAUUCCGGCGGCGCCUCUUCGUCGUGUAUAACUAUCUUCUCUCUCCACACCUGACUCGGUGCUACGGUCUCCUCAGGACAGUUCUGUUCAAGCCGUAUGUGUUCAGACCUUAUCACUUCUUCUUCGUAGUCUACCCAUCCGUCCUUGAUGAUCUGCCUCCUCUGGUUGCGGUUGCGUUGUCUUCUUCUUGUCCUGACCUGCUUAGAAUCUUCAACUAUAUAGUUAGAAUCAUUAAAGUAGUGGCGUACCUUCUCAGAGAGGAAGUGCAUGUGGACUUCUCCGGUUCCAAUAUAGAUGAUGGCUUUGAUAGUGUUGAGGAACGGUCUUCCAAGGAUGGUGGGUGGAUCAUACUCGUCUUCUCCCAUGUCAAUGACCUGAAAAUUUUCUAGAGCUGAAUGUAUGCUGGUUGUAGGAGCAUGGUUCCAUACAGGAGCUGAUAAGUGACUGCGGCCAUUAUGUUGACAUCAGAUCCGGUGUCGUAGAGUGUCUUCUAAAAAGAGUAUCUGUUGAUUGUGCACUCAAUACUUGGAACACCAGGGUUGUCCUUCUUGAUCAGGAAUGGCGACUUGAGUCGACGAUCUUGACCUCUUUGAACUGCAGUGACCAUCUUAGCUGACUCAGUCCACAUUUGCUUGUUCCUGUUCCUCCUGUUGGUCCUCUUCCUUGGUUCAUGUCGGGUUUGCUCCGAAGCUUGUGUAGUCUUGUUCUUGAAGGAAAGUCUCCUUCUUCCCCUUGAUGUAGAGACUGAUCUUGGCAGCAUUAGCGUAGAUGACUGCUCUGGUGUUUAGGAAUGGCCUCCCUAAGAUGAUGGGUGCCCUCUCCUCAGUACCAGUCUCUAUCACCAUGAAGUUUGCUGGAGCGUACAAGGUACCAACUCGGACACAGAGGUUCUUCAAUAUUUCCUUUGGGAAACUAAGUGUCUGAUCUCCAUUGUGUUUGUGCUCGUAGAUCCCGGUUCUUCACUUAGUGGAAUCUGGGAGUUGUAAAACUCCUCCAUGUUUUGUUUGAAGUGUACCUAUUCAUGGAGACAAGGCAGGGAUCAAGUGCAUGGGCCCUGAUAGCAAGCAGCGGAUAGACAACUCCAAACUUCGGGUAUUAACUUCACUCUACAGGAUCCAACUGACUGGUUGAUCACAAGCCUAACACUCCUCCUUGAUCCAUAUGCUCUUGCUGAUCUUGCUAGUCUUACUGGUUGUUCAAGGCUCUGAUCUUAAUCACUGAAGUACUGCUCUCCGACUUGUGGAAGCUUUCCUUUCUUAGUGGUUGUGCAUCGUGUUUGUGGCACCCUCCAUGAAUCAUCUCUUAUGAGCUACGUCUUUCUUGUGCAAAUUGUUAAACUUCAUGUGUCACUUUCUUCAUCUCCAAUGUGAGUUUAUCUCAGGACUUCCCAGGUUGAUAUUGAAAGUUCUCCUGCAGGGGUUAGUCCCACAAAAUAUAACAAUAUCUACUCAAGCAGUUUUUAGUUCAGUAACCAAACUAGACUCCAUGUCUAAUCAGAUUAAGGAAGGCUAUUUAACCUAAGCACCACGCUUAAUUUAAAUGCCAUUGGAAGUGUGUCCAGUACUUCCAAACUAACACUUACUAGGAUAAACAAAGGUAGCAUGAUGGCUUUUAUAGAGAUCUACUCAAGUGGAGAUGAAGUAGUGUGAUUAGUAUUUAACAAAUUGAGCAUGUCUCAAAGGUAAGGACAACCAACAUAGUAACAUGGCAAAGGAUGUUUUAUGUAAAGUACUCCCCCAAGCUUAAAUUUUGCAAAAUUCAAGUUUGGAUGAAUUUAAUUCAAUGUUGUGUGAUGGCUGGUUGGACAUACCUUGUGCUUGUCAUUCAUCCGAUCUUCUUGCUCCAAUCCUGGAAAGGUUAGUGACAAGAAUACCCGAAGGAAUAUUUCUACAAUUAUCUUUAUAUGCUCAAUACACAAGGCAAUGUUGCAAAUAAUUAGAAGUGCUUGUUUUAGGACACUAAGCUUGUCCUUGGGAAACCAUCAAUUAACUAAACGAGAUCUGCAAUAUUUAUUAUAGACAUAUGCAUCGACAACCGCCCUUUAAAGUUUUUAUAAAUAGAAAAGAAGAGGGGGUUGGAGAUCUCAAAUGUGGUAAUGUUGGAGAGACUAAUUGAAAGGGGAGAUGUUUUAUAUGAGCAAGGACUGGGUAAGGUAUUUAUGAAAUAACUUCCAUGCUCACUAUUGUUUCUCUCAUUCUCAAACUCCAAGGAUGAUUCUUCAUGAAUGCUUAAAAUUCCUCUAGGAUUGUCUCUCAAGUUUGUUUUAUCUAUCCAUUCAAUGGUGAUAGCACAUGGAUUUUUAAUGCCCUCUAGCCAUCGAUGUUGCUCUUCUCGAUCCUCCUUCUUAUGCAUGGGAUGUCUAGAGAGAUUCAUAGGAUUAUCGGGAGGUUCAAGAGAAAGAACAUAGUAGAAUUCAUUAAACUCUAGGAUGGGUUGGAUAGCCAAAUUAUGGGAUUGAAAUGUUUGGAAAUCGGUUAUUGAAACUUCCUCUUCUUGUAUGGGAGAUGAUUCCUUCUCUAUCUCUAAGAUUUUUCUAUGAAGACUAGUACAAGAAGGAUGUCCACGAAUGAAGACAUACCUUCCUUUACUAAUAGAUAAAGAAAGAAGGACUCUACCAAAGGUUAUAUGAUUAAGACCAAUGUGAAAAUAUUUAGGAAAAACAUGGUCUUGUAGGGCUAGGUCUAAACCAGAAUUUAUAGAAAGAUUAACAGAUUCCCUAGGUGUAGCUAAAAGUGCAUUAUCUUCUUGAUUAAAAGAUAGGACCUCGGCUAUAGAAAAGGGUUGGUUUUGACCUAUUGCAAUCAACUCCGGACACAGAUCAUAAUUAGGGGCAGGACGUGUUGACUCCCAUGGUCUAUGUCUGGUCUCCGAAGGUGCAAAGAAUUCAAUAAUAGGUAUGGAAUUUGAGUUAUCCAUAAAGAUAAAAAUAAAUAGAUAAAAGAAUAAAAGUAUAAAAGUAUAAUACAAGAUAAUAGCAAGAUUCAAAGUUAUCUCAGCAAACCGUCUUUCUCCCCGGCAACGGCGUCAGAAAUGCUUGUUGAUAUUUGGUAACGCAAUUAGAAAAUGAUCCGCAAGCGCACGGAUAUCGGUGAGCAUUUCACCCGGGAGGUUUUCCAGAGUAUCGUAUUUAUAUUUUUACCACUGGGAGAAAGGGUGCAUCUGACUAACCAAAUCUAUUGCUACUAUCCCUUUAGGCUACAAAGAAUGUCUCUCGAUGUGAGUGAUGUAUAGAGAAGACUGCAACCUUAGUCUCGUUCUAACCUUGGUAAGGAUGAUCUACUGUUCUAUUGGGGAGGCUCACGGAAUCUAGACAACACAAAGGUUGUUCGACCCGCACCUAUAAACCUACCCGUCCUACUAACGAGAUGUGAUCUGCAAAGGUAACUCGGAAAUGUCACGUUCCUCGCUACUACCACGGUCCAGCUAGUCAGGGGAUAUCUAUGAGUACCCUAGCCUAAACACCACGUUUAUGCUAGCAAGUGAUGACUCUAAUACUCAACCGGAAGAGGAUUAAAGUAAACUCAUAAACCAAAGAACAAUAAAACAAGAACUUACUAGAAUUAGAAGUCGAAUUACUGAAGAAUCUUAGAAGCAAGCCUCGGGUUAGGAGACUUGAUCCCGCAGGUACAACUCGGAGUAGACACCGACAGGCCGGCCUUCCUCCGAUCCACACCUCCACUCUAUCUCUCUCAAUCUAGUAGAAACUAGAAGAUCUAUUUCUACUUUACAUUGGAUGCUAAGCCUAAAAAGAAAUAUUAUUUAGAGAAGAGGUUUUCCUUCGAGGGCACCCCUCAAUCUCUAUGAUAAUUUCUUGUCUUCUCCAGGGGCCAGGGGCCUUGCUUAUAUAGUCCUCCUACUCUGUGCGUUUUUGGUUCAGCAGGCGAUGUGGUACUAAACUUUCCACCAUAUCUCAUUAAAAUGCACAUAGGCCUUAAUGGACCAAAAUCUGAUUUGGGCCCAAUUAAUCCCGCAGCUCUUUUAUGUGGAGUCCUUGUUUUAUUAAUAUCUUUUGAUUCCGAACUCCAAAUAUAGCAAGUAAUAUAUGCAUUUCGAUCAGCUCGACGAGAUCUUUGCAAUGGUGUACUCCAUUCUGUGAUUGGUGGAAACACCUGGGCGGGCGCCCAAGGGGGGUGGGCGGGCGCCCUGCCCCCGGGCCUGUUUGCCUUCUCGUUCGUUUCCGUGGCUUCUGGAGUCUUCUAGAUGAUAGAAAAUUGUGCGGCACAUUAAUAUCUCUAUGUAAUCCCGACGUGUGGGCCUUUCUUCCUUAUUUCCUGAUAACCCCCUACAGAAAUAGACAAACACCAAAACUCGUGGAAUUCUGUCAGAUAAAACCCUAAGUCUAGAUGUUGAUUUCAUUUUGAUCCUUUUCUUUAUUUAUUUGAUAAUUAAAUUUGAUACUUAAAGACCGUCAACACCAUCAUUGAAUUGACAUACCCCGACUGGGCCAUAGACCUCUGUUGUAUCAGCAUUGAAUCUGCCGAUGUAUUAGGCAUCUGAAAUAUUGAAUCUUGAGGAUUCCCAGUGUGAGGCCUUGCAGUAGUAGUUGUGGUAUACCGAGGACUCUGAUUCCCCGGCGCAUUGGGAGGCGCCGAUGCCAUAGUAGCCUUGCCCCUCGUGUCAGUUAUCUGUGAUGUACCCGGUGUUAAUUCUGGAGGCAUACCGUAACCCCACCAAUUGGGAGGAAGAGUCAACCCUGACAUUACCGAUGCCAACAUAUCUGUUGUCAGUUUAUUCUGCCCACUUGAAGUCUGUGGGUUGGUUGUCAUCCGCACAGAUAGUGCACCAGUAGCUCCCGAUGUACUUGGAGGGAUGUCAGAUUGUGCACUAGCAGCCGUCAAAGCAGCCGAUGGAGCCGUAACCUCUGGUGCCGUUGGCUGAUGAUGAGAGGGGCCCACAUAAUCUGGUGGGAUUUGUCCUUCUUGCCACGGCAUUGAAAACCGUAUUGGACAGUACACCAGCUUGGUUGAUCAAAGCUCGGUUGAUAGCACUGUCAACCAUAUCUUGAAGCUUGCCAGGAUUGGUUUCGAAGGUAACCUGCCGUGGUGCCGGCAGUGCAUCUUUCUGGAUCACCUCGCCACUCCUGUUUAUGCUGAAAGACCUCAGGCAUUGCAGCUUGAACUCUUCCAUGGCUUGGGCAAUAGCUUGCUUCUGCUCAUCCUUGAGAUUGGCCUCCGUCACGGGGAUGACGUUCUCUUGAUCAAAGUCAGAGAUCGACAUGUUGAUCUUGAUCUUGAAUCUAGUCCCACCGGGCAUGCCAAAAGAUGUGUUGAUGCAAAACUGAUCUGCAAACACAAAGGGCUAAUACCCGAUUGAAACGUUAAGGCGUGCCAGCCAAUUUGACCUUACUAUCAGCAAAGGUGAUAACUCGAAUACUUUAGUCCUAACAACAGCGAUGCGCCCGGAAGUCACGGCUAAGAGGUACUCACGCGGAACUCGAGAACACGCCGAGCUUAAGUCGACGAAUUCCUAAGAACUCGUAGUAAAAGAAAAAAAGUAUGACGAAGUCGUCGAAAAGUAGAUGCUGAAAUAUAUGAGUAAAACGUGUGUUUGAUUGAUUGAUAGAUAUCUCAUUACAAAGCCCUAGGGGUUCAUAUUUAUACCCUGCUCAAAGAGCUACAACUAAACACGACUAGAAUUCGAAUUCCAAAUUACACGGAAUUCGUAUACAAAACGACUUAAAUAAAUAAGGAAAUAACAAAGCUAUCUCCCGUGACGAACUAAAACUCUUCCAUAAACCGAUCAGCAGUUUCCGGACCCCUCCUCCGUAUCAUCGGCAGACUCCUUGUCAUAGUCAUCGGCAGACUCCCCUAUCGGCAUAAACACAUUACUGUCUGCAGACUUAGUCACAUCUGACCUCUCCUUCAUCGGCAACCAUCCUCAUCGGCAAUUCAUCUUGUAAAUAGCAUACUGCCACUUUAUCCUGCCAUCCUGGACACGUGCCCCAAAAAACGGUGUCAACAGAUGCUGAUCGCAGAAGUCCAAGAACUUUUUGCCGGUGAACUAGGUGCCGUUGUCGGUGAUGAUUACAUUGGGGAUCCCAAACCGGUGGAUGAUGUCGGUGAAGAAAAGGACGGCCUGCUCGGAGCGGAUGUUGGUGAUGGAUCGAGCCUCGAUCCAUUUGGAGAACUUGUCGAUAGCUACCAGCAAGUGGGUGUACCCCCCUUUUUGCCUUUUGCAGAGGCCCUACUAAGUCGAGCCCCCAUACUGCGAACGGCCAUGUGAUGGGGAUCAUCUGAAGAGCGUGGGCGGGCAGAUGCGUCUGUUUGGCGUAGAACUGGCACACAUGGCAUCAGCGUACGAGCUCGAUGGCAUCAGCUACGGCCGUUGGCCAGUAGAAACCUUGUCGGAAGGCGUUCCCUACGAGGGUCCGUGGAGCAGCAUGGUGCCCGCAAGCCCCCGAGUGUAGGUCCUCGAGGAGUUUCCGGCCUUCUUCCACGGUGAUGCAACGCUGCAAGACCCCCGUCGGGCUUCGUCGAUAUAGCUCAUUGCCCUCGCCAUAGAUCACAUAUGACUUGGCCCGUCGAGCGAUACGGCAGGCCUCAGAUCGAUCUUCUGGCAGCUCGCAGCGGAUUAGGUAGUCGAGGAACGGUGUGCGCCAGUCGAACAGUCAACCGGGCCGCUGUUCUACCUCCAUCACCUCAACUGCCAUCAAUAGUGCGUCGACGGUGUCGGUUUGCUGGGCAGGAGCGGCAUCGACGCCAGCCCUCGAGCCCAAGUCGACGGAUGGCUCGUGAAGACCUCUUGAGAAGGCGUCAGGUGGUACCGUGCCUCGGGUCGACGCAAUCUUGGCGAGUUCGUCGGCUGCCUCGUUGUAGCGUCGGGCGACGUGGACGAGCUCAAGGCCAUGGAAUUUGUCCUCGAGUCGACGGACUUCCUUGCAAUACGCCUCCAUUUUUGGGUCGUGGCAGCUUGAGGUCUUCAUCACUUGGUCGAUGACGAGUUGGGAGUCACCUCGGACGUCAAGGCGUCGGACUCCUAGCUCGAUGGCGAUCUUGAGACCGUUGACGAGGGCCUCGUACUCUGCGACAUUGUUGGAUGCAACAAAGUGAAUCCUGAUGACGUACCUCAUAUGAACGCCCAAGGGCGAGAUGAACAGCAGGUCGGCUCCGGCUCCCGUCUUCAUGAGUGACCCAUCGAAAUACAUUGUCCACAGCUCCGACUGGACCUGAGUCGGGGGAAGCUGGGAGUCUGUCCAUUCCGCGACGAAAUCCACCAGGGCUUGCGAUUUGAUAGCCUUGCGAGGCGCAUAAGUGAGAGUCUCACUCAUGAGCUCGACUGACCAUUUAGCUAUUCUUCCCGUGGCCUCCUUACUCUGGAUUAUCUCGCCUAGGGGGAAGGACGAGACCACCGUGAUAGGGUGGACGAGGAAGUAGUGCUGCAGCUUGCGUCGGGCGAGGAUUACGGCAUAGAUCAGCUUCUAGAUUUGGGGGUAACGUGCCUUGGUCUUGGAGAGCACCUCGCUGACGAAAUAGACCAGCCUCUGGACUGGCAACGCAUGCCCCUCCUCCUGCCUUUCGACCACCACCGCUGCACUGACAACCUGGGUCGUUGAGGCAACGUAAAGGAGCAGUGGUUCCGCAGGUUGAGGUGGGACCAGUACUGGUGCUGAGGUCAGUGUUUUCUUCAGAUUUUUGAGGGCUUCCUCGGCCUCGGGGGUCCAAGAAAAACGCUCGACCUUCUUCAGAAGUCGAUACAGCGGCAACGCCUUUUCUCCUAAUCUCGAGAUGAAUCGACUCAGCGCCGCUAAACAUCCCGUGACUCUCUGCACGCCCUUGAUGUCUCGAAUUGGCCCCAUUCUCGUGAUGGCCGCGACUUUCUCGGGGUUGGCCUCGAUCCCGCGCUGGGAAACGAUGAAUCCCAGGAGCAUGCCUCGAGGCACGCCGAAAACACAUUUCUCAGGGUUGAGUUUGAUCUGGUUGGCACGUAAGCAGUUGAAUGCGAUCUCGAGGUCCUGGAUCAAGUCUCCCUGUUGCUUCAACUUGACGACGAUGUCGCGACAUAGGCCUCGACCGUACGUGGCUCCCGCGUUUUCGAGCCCGAAUGGCAUGGUUACAUAGCAAUACAUCCCAAAAGGUGUGAUGAAAGAGGUCGCGAGCUGGUCCGACUCUUUCAUUUUUAUUUGAUGGUAACCAGAAUAUGCAUCAAGGAAAGAAAGGGUUUCACAUCCCGCAGUAGAAUCAAUAAUUUGUUCAAUACGAGGUAAUGGAAAGGGAACUUUCGGACAUGCUUUAUUUAAACUCGUAUAAUCGACACACAUCCUCAUUUUCCCAUUCUUUUUCUUAACUAGUACAGGGUUUGCUAACCAGUCGGGAUGGUGAACCUCCUUGAUGAAUCCGGCCGACAGAAGCUUGUGGACCUCCUCGCCAAUGAUCUUGCGCUUCUCCUCGUCGAAUCGGCGCAACCGUUGCUUCACUGGCUUGGAACCGGCUCGAAUUUCCAAGGAGUGCUCGGCGACUUCCCUCGGUAUGCCUGGCAUGUCCGAGGGACUCCAUGCAAACAUAUCGGCGUUCGCACGGAGAAAGUCAACGAGCACAGCUUCCUAUUUGGGGUCGAGGUCGGCGCUGAUCGUCAGCACCUUGCCGUCGGAGCUGUUGGGGUCGAGCGGGAUCUUCUUGGUUCCUUCUGCUGGCUCGAAGCUGCCCGCGUGGCGCUUGGGCUCUAGAGCCUCAGCGGCCAGAGCUUCGAGCUUCGAGAUGAGCUCGGUGGAAUUUUCGACCGCCUCCCCAUACUCGACGCACUCGACGUCGCACUCGUAAGCGUGCUCGUAAGCGUGCUCGAAAGAGGAGGUGACGGUGAUGACGCCUUUGGGGCCGGGCAUCUUCAGCUUCAAGUAGGUGUAGUUGGGUAUAGCCAUGAAUUUGGCGUAGCCCGGGCGCCCAAUGAUAGUGUGGUACGUGCCCCGGAAUCCCACCACCUCAAAGGUGAGGGUCUCCUUUCUGAAGUUGGCUGUCGUGCCAAAGCAAACUGGGAGGUCGAUUCGACCCACCGGUAGAGCCUUCUUUCCUGGCACGACGCCAUGGAAGCCGCCGGCGCUUGGUUGGAGCCGCCCCCUGUCGAUACCUAGGAGGUCGAGGGUCUCGAGGUAGAUGAUGUUGAGGCUGCUGCCGCCAAGAGCCGGGUGUUGACGAUGAUGGGGUCGACGACGAGCGGGUAGACGCCUGGGGCAACCACCUUGUCGGGGUGGUCUUCUCGAUCGAAGGUGAUGGCCAUGCUCGACCAGCUGAGGUACUAGGGCACCGCCAUUCUUGCUGCGAAGACCUCACGGCGUUCCCUCUUGCGCUGCCUUACAGUCAACUGCAUCGAGGGCCCACCAUAGAUCAUGUAGCAGUCGUGGACGGCAGGGAAACCAUCGUCGUCCUUGUUGCCCUCCUUGUCGCUGCCCUUCUCCUUCGUUGGGUCGUCGUGCGUGUCCUUUUUAAAUCCCAGACCGUCAAAAUGCUUUUUCAGCAUGCGACAGUCUUUGAGCUUGUGAUUGGCUCCUCCCUUAUGGUAAGGGCAUGGCUCCUCUAGCAUCUUAUCGAAGAUGCCUCCAUCUGGAGGACCUCAAGGUCUCUUGCGUUCCAUGGCGGCGACAAGAUUGUCGUCGAAGUCUUCUCGCGGGAACUGCCGCGCUUUCUGCUUCUUCUUGUUCUUCUUGGGCCCUCGACUGGGGGUCCCAUCUUCAUCGGUAGGCUGCUUGCCUUUCCUUCCUUCACAGCUAAAGAAGGCACCGACCGCUUCCUCCCCUGCUGCAUAAUUUGCCACUACGUCCAUCAGCUCAUCGACGGUCUGAGGGCGAUUCCGGCCCAGCUCCCGCACCAAGUCUCGACUAGUGGUAUCAGAGACAAAGGCCAGGAUGACAUCAUGGUCGGGUAUAUGUGGUAGCUCGGUGCGCUGUUUUGAGAAGCGUCGAGCAUACUCUCGAAGAGUUUCUCCUGACUUCUGCUUGCACUUGUUGAGGUCCCACGAGUUCCCAAGACGUAUGUAGGUCCCUUUGAAAUUACCCUCGAAAACCCUAACCAAAUCGACCCAGUCGUGAAUCUGGUCGGCUGGAAGUUCCUCGAGCCACCGACGGGCGGUGUCAGAGAGGAAGAGCGGUAGCUGUCUGAUGAAGGCUCGAUCAUCUCCUCAAGCGCCUCCUAGCUGACAGGCCAGCCUAAAAUCGGCCAACUACAACUCUGGUUUGGUUUCUCCGUUGUAUUUUGCGAUGCUGGUCGGGGGUCGGAAUGGAUUGGGCAGGGGCGUGCUGCGGAUCGCCCUGCUGAACACUCGUGGGCCUGGUGGCUCGGGGGCCAUCCGGUCCUCGUCACUGUUGUACGUCCCACCGCGAUGUGCGCUGUAGCCACGCUCUUCCGCGUCUCCGUGCCGACGGCGUCGAUUCUCUUCAAUGUCGCGUCGUGUGUCGUGCCGACGUUGGUUGUCGACGGGGACGACGAGCGUGGUCUUUUUUGCUCGAGGAGGUGGCUGCUGAUGGACCGACACCUCCUUUUCAUUUUGGGCCGGCUCGUCGCGCUUUUCAGUGGUAGCACCUCGACGUCGAGAAGCCGUGCUUUCGGCUUGUUGAACUGCAGCCACCUGGAGCAGCGUCUGAACCUCGUCUCGAAUGCGUCGAGCCUGAGAGUUUGAUGGUUCUGGCAUGUUGCGCAGCAGCAUUGUCGCUGCCACUACAUUCUGGCCUGCUCGAGGGAAGCGGCUGACGGGCUGUUCUGGCUCUGCGUCUCUGACGAUUUACCGGUGUACCUCUCGAGCUCGCCUAUGGACACUUCCGCCUGGCGGGUUAGGCAAGUCUUGCUCAAGGAUUUGCUCGAGCAGGACGAGGCGCUCACGAUCCUCAUCAAGCUUGGUCUUGAGCUCUCACAGUUGCGCAAGCUGCGCGGCCCUGUCUUCCUGAGGAAGUGGGUCGACCUGUCCGUCGCUCCCAGGCGUCCUGGGGUCUUCUCUUGCUGUAGGGGCUCGACCGCCAGCAGCCGCAUCCUGCGUCUCAUCGGUGGUUUCUACCGCCCCGUCGACGUGAUAGCAUUCCCUAGUAGGGUCGUAGCUAUCGGUCUCGUUGUCGGAGUCUGGCUCGGCUACGUAGAAACAUCCACGUCCCUCCUCCAGUAGCCGCUGCCUGAGUGAGGUGAUCGUGUAUCGCCCAAGGCCUAGGCGUCGGAGGCCUCGUUCCUGGGAGAAAUCUGGCAGCUCGGACGUCGACUGUUGUGCUUCAGAGUCAUGUGGGAGGACCAUUGGUCUCUCUACGUAUGUCUGGGCGUUUGGGCAUAUUGCCCUGGCGAGCGAUGCUGCGUCGUUGUCCAAUCCGACUGGCGGCGCCCUUCUUGGUGUGAACAACCCGUGUGGAAGUAACCCAGCAAUGGGGGAGAGCGCACGGGGCGCGUCGCCUCUUGUCGUCGUGUAAUGCCGGGCCGGCAUGUCCUUGGUUUCGGCACACGGCGCUGCCGGCUCUUGUGUCACCUCCUGCCUCGCGCGAACCGCCGGUCGUGACGGGGCAGAGGGGUGACGAUGAUGCUGUCCACGCUUCUUCUUGGGCGGAGAGGCGUGGUGUCGAGGGCGUCUCGGGGCCCUCAACCGUGCUGGCGCGACUCAGGCUCCUCCCGGUCCUUUGAUCGAGAGCAAGAUCAUGUCAUAGCCGGAGCCAGUCGACAUGAACUCAAGACUCCCAAACCAAAUCACCGUGGAGCGCGAAAUCAGCGAAGCAAGGGUGGCAAUCUGGAAAGGAGUGGGAAAUCGAUGAAAAACACACAGGACCCCUACCUGGUGCGCCAACUGUCGGUGUUUUCCCCAUGGGGGGUCACACCAACGAGUAAAUUUGUAUGCGUGCUCCCUUUCCCAGAUGGUGAUGCAAGAAGACACAAAGAUUUAUCCUGGUUCGGGCAAGAGAAGGCCCUACGUCCAGCGGGGGAGGGAAGUUUGUAUUAUCUUGCACCUAAGUGCUUGUACAGGGGCGAAUACAAGUGUGUAUAAACCGGGAUGGAGUAUGGAGACUUCUCUACGUGUGUGUUGUGUUCGUGAUCAUGAUGUCCGUGUUCACUUCCGGGUCUCCCCUUUUAUAGUUCCAAGGGGAGGCCUAGGGUACAUGUGUAGGUGGCAGACUAGGGGUCGAUAGAGGCAUGGCACGCUGACCUACUCGAGGCCUUCCGUACAGGCGUGGUCUCGAGCCGUCCCGUCCUGAUAGCUUGAUGAUGAUCACACGUGCCCUCAUAUCCCGCUUCGUACGCCAUCUCGGGCCUGUUUAUGUGUCGCACGCCUGUACGUCAUGGUGGCUGAAAUGUCAGAGCAGCGGCAGUGCCGUCAGUCGACGCUCAACCCUUCCCCAGGAAGGGAGCACGCCUAGUCGAGGGUCGGAUGCCAUGCGGCGCCUUGCUAUCCAGAGUUUUGACUUUUGGCGUCUCGAGGGGGUCCUGACUAGACGUUCCAUCCCGGCUUCCCGCGUCCUGACACGCUCUGGGUCAUCUGGUGGGGAAGGCUGCAGAAAGAAUGACGGGACGGGUGCCUGUUCCCCAUCACGUUUCCCGUGACUAGCGUGUUAGGUGGGAAAGCGACAGGCGCAUUAAAUGCCUGGGUUCUCGUGCGCGUGUCAGGCGGCGGGCGAUGUCCUCGCGCUCGAUGCCUCCUGAUUCGCUCGAGCCCAUUUCUGUAUUCGACGGUAGUUGACGCUCGACCCCCGAGCGGUUCGCUCGACGCCUUUUCCGUCUUCGAGGCUGCAGCCGUCGACGACUGUGUGUAUAGCUGAUUAGAACAUCGAGUUGGGGGCUUCGAUCUGUAUAAAGGUAAUCUCGUUAUGUGCAUCAGUUAGGAUACCCCUUACUGAUACCCUCGACAGCUUGCUUGGCUUCCAAGCAUGCGCAAGAGGAAGACUGCAGAAGAUGGUGGACAUUGGCCGAAACAGGGCGCCGACUGGCCCCAGGGUGGGGCCGACCGACCCCACUAUUGACGGGAAAUAAGACCCAGUUCUAUAUGCUCAAAAGCCCAUCAACAAUCCUCGAUUAAAGGAAGAUAAGCAUCACAUGAACAUAUUUAUCACUAAUAAAGUUCCACUUGUAGUCUUAGCUUGUUCAAUGUAGGGAAGAAGGAAAUGAGCCCUGUGGGCCCCAUAACCUCACUCGGCCGACCAUGGUUUGGGCCCCCCAGGGGCUCCCCUCCAUGGCAUGCUCCAAGGAGUCAAUCCCAACCCUUGGAUCCAAGUGUGCUUGCCCUCAACAGUUCAAACACUUAGCACAUUGAUCCUUGGGCCCACAUGGAAGCAAGCAAGUGUGCAACCAGACUCAACUUUGGGCAACACUUCACAUGACAAGUGGGGACACCACCAGGAGGCCAGUGGUGGACCAGGGGCCCCAAAGGUCGGUCGGCCGACCGACCAAUUGGGUCAUGCCACCUGGCCCAGCCUCCCAUCGACCUAAGGACCUUCCAGAAGGUCAGUGGGAGCCACUGUCAUCCAGAUGUCAGGUCGGCCACCCUACAUGUGGGCCCCAUCUUGAGUCGGUUCACUCCCACCGAUGUCCCCAUGUUGAACAUGUGAUGGAAAUCCCCAACCGUUAGCCAUAUGGCAGUUCCAAGGUGAGUUUAUCCAAUAGUGCAUGCUGGAGUUCACGCGGAUUGCUGACGUGGCGCUAGAGUAGCCCCUACUCCAUCUCUCCCCUAUAAAUACCCCCUUAGAGAUCCUAAUUAAGCAUGAUGUACCUUAGCAAGAGCUACUCUUAGCUAAGUGUGAGAAUGGAGGGAAGAGAGUGAGGAGUUCCCCGAGGAGGAGUCUCGGCUUGUCGGGAGUCUUCUUCUAGGAGCGCCUCAGCGGAUGCUUGUCUUCUAGUAAGUCUUCCUUCUAGUUGCCUUUCAUCUGAGUACUUCCAGUAUUUACUUUCUGUCUUAGUUUAUUUUAAGUAUACAACCGGCCUACUGGCACAUUGCUUUGCCUUAUGUGAAGUGCUCGAAACCUUAGCUGGGUCUAGAGUAGUAGAAUUAGUGUAGAUGUGGUGUCUACACUAAGUCUGCCCUUGUGGACUUCUUGUCACACCUGAAGAACGCCAGCAGCAAAGCGGGAUAGGCCUCUACUGGACAUUAGGAGUUCUCUUCAAUGUGUUGUUAGGCAAGUUGCAAAUAAUAGUUGGCCUGGAUGGUAGUUGCCUAGGGAAGUGUUUCGCCACACCCUUUUCACCUAUUGGCCAUAGUAGGAAGGGAGUUAACUCUUAGUAUGCUUAGGAGAGCUUAGCCAGAAGCCAAACACUAGAAAUACCUCUCCACCUAAUCCUGAGCCCUUUGAUCAUCAUCCGACGACUCAAUUGGUCUAGUUAAUUCAUUUCUCGUUCCUUGUGGAAAAUACGAUACCUGGCAUACUCCUGGUGAAGUGCUGCAUUGACCACCAUCCGCUUGCGGUAAAACCGUUUGCCACUUUUGGUGUCACACAAGCAUUUCUAGUGUUGUGCCAAGGACUCACAAUCCUAGAUAGUGACACUAAGAAGAGUUAACAAGCAUUUCUGGCGCCAUUGCCGGGGAUCGGUAGCUGACCUAACUUAGAACCAAGUCGUCUGACUUAUCCUUCUUUUACCUUUAUUUUCUUUUAUCCUUUCCACUGCAUGUUUGCAUAGUAUUGCAUAAAUCUUGUGCUUUCUUGGGUAGCUCCUAGUCUUUGAGUUGUAUUCGAGCAUCAUGCCUAGUUUAGAUUUUAUUGUUGUCUACCUAUUCAGGCUCCUAGUAUAGCUUGUGGUAGUCGAAUGUUAAACGGGAACAUCCCACCUCAUAUAUCGGCUUUAAUAGUCGGUAUGAUGAUAUCCUUUGGAUGGGCCACGCCACAGGAAAAAGCUAAAGCCUAGAUGUUCAUGCAUAUCACUCAUUUAUUGUUAAUCUUUAUUUUAACCACAGCAUAUUUGUUUAAAUGCAUUCAUCUUCCACUUUGCAUUGCCAUGCAUAUAAAAAUUAAAUAAUAAUAACAAUAAUAAGAAAAAAAAUAUUUGCCUCUUGUCUUCAUCACUCAUUAUCUUGUCUCUAGUAUAAUGAAUCUUGUUCAUCCUAUCAUGCUCCCUCUUUCUAUGUUAGUAUGCUUUGGUUUGGUCAUACUAAUCGCUCGAGUGAGUACCUCCAUAGUCUUUUUAAAUUAAGCAUGGUGCUUAGGUUAAAUAGACUACCUUAAUCAAACAAGACAUGGUGUUAAGUUUGAUUAUUGAACCAAACAUACUUGCAUGGAACUUGGCUGCACUUUUGGACUAACCCCUGCAGCAAGAACAUCGAUAUCUCUAUGGGUAAGUCAUGAGAUCAUUCAUGGAGACAACUUGAGUUCCUCAUGGUCAAAGACAAGUUUCUUGGCCAAAGAGAACUUCGAUGCAACUAAGAAGGGCCAAUGCUAAGACUCAUCAUCUUUGAGGUAAGUGGCCACCUUCUUAAGAGUUUUCUAGGAGUUUGAUCCUUAAUAGAAGAAGUUGACAUGCUAGAACACAACCUUGCUAAAGAUUCAACAAGACUAAAAUCUACAUGUCUUAACUUCUUUUAUAUAUUUUGUGUGGAUUGGCUUUUAGGAUAGCAUGAAUACACUUAUGUUAGUCCUUAAGACAAAACUGGUCUUGGGGAGCCUCCAUUAUGGGGUCGGGCGACCUGAUCUUAGUAGCUAACCAAGCCUAUGUUUGGCCAAACCAUCUAUGGCAUGUGGGGAAGUACAAAUCCAGAACCUGUUUGCUCUAGAACUUCCAAACUGGGGUCAGGUGACCUGGACUUAGUACCCACUAUGGCUCAAACUUGGCCAGACCACUUCUAGUCACCAAAAAAGUGUAGUACCCGAACUUGCUUGCUCUCUACCCAAUAACUAGGGGUCAGGAGACCCCUACUUGAUAGGAUGCAUGUAUCUCGAAAGUGGUCCUACGAAAGGAAGAGUUGAGGGAGAAGUGUGAACUUUGGUUUCCACCGAGGUGGGGUCGGGCGACCCAUAGUUGGGAAACCCAAUCUGACCUAGAGUGUCGUGCCAACACUUAGAAACUAUUCCUAGUUACAACUCUUGUGAAAAAAAGUUUGUAAUAUUUGCCAAUAGCUUUCCCUGGCCUUCCCUCUUCUUGUUCUCCAUCCCAAUGCUCCUGGUCUCAAACUCAACACCUUCUAGCCCCCUAUAUGCCUCUCGAGUUACCUUGAGUAGCCUCUCGUGGUCCCCAGUAGCACAAAUGUCAUCAAUUCUAUUAGUGAGGCCCCCUUUAAUCAUGAAGGAGACUAGCUAUGAAACCAGAGAUCACCAUGGAGGCCAUUGUGCUUAAAGGAGAACCAUACCAUGCCUCCAAGAACCACAAGGCAAAGGUACGCAAGUGUGGCAAGAGGAGGUGCAAUCUUGGUCCAUAUCUCCAGGGCCAUCUGAAGCACCCAAGCAAUAAAUAAGAUGGAGAGGUCCUGCUCUAUGGACCUAAAUUAUGGAGCCCUUGCUGAUAAGGUAAAUCAGUACUUAUCCCAUCUUUACUCAUUGCAUUCCAAUUCUUGCAUUUCCCUUCCAAUUGCAUGCUUAGUUUAGUUUUGCAUAUUUCCCUUCGACAAAAUGCUUAGGAAUAAUAAAUAAAAAUCUUGAGAACAACUUGCAAUACAGUUUUGACCUGUGGAUCAUCUAGAGGUGGGGUCGGCCGACCCCACAAUUGGGCCCACUUGCAGUCUUUCACUUCGGCUUGAUGCAAUGUGUCGAGGUCAGCACUUGGAUGCUCCUGAAGCUUUCAAGUUGGGGUUGGUCGACCCUAAGACUUACCGUUUUGGCAGUCUACUAUCACCCAUUUGCUUUGCUUUAGAAUCCCAUGCAUGACACACAAGCCAAAGUCUGAAAAGAAAUGGUUCGUUUGGGACCUAUGCACCAGCUUAAACCUGCAAAGUGGUCUCCUAGACAUGCUCUAGUGCUGUCAUGAUCACGGACAACCACUUUAAGCAUAUGUCCACUUUUGAAAAUCAUCUUUUCUCUUGCACAUAGCACUAGGCAAGGGACUCUUAUAAAAGAACUUUACAUCUUGUCCACGCCUAGGCUUUAGUUUAGUAGACACUUAAUGCCACAUCAUUUAGAGUGCUAAAGUGCUUAGGGUAUGGGUUGGCCGACCUCUACAUUGGCUAAUCUCUGGAAAAGAGUUCAUAUAUGUUGCAAGAUUCCCUGCCAUGAUUCAAAAUUUUGAAACAUAGUGCUUAUGGGGAGGUCGGCCGACCCCCACAUUAGGGUGUUCACCACUUGCCCUUCUUACCCUAUAAAUACCCAUGCAUUGUGAGCUCAAUUCCACACCCGAAACCACCAAAAUUAUCUCGAGCUCACAAUCCCUCUUCUCUCUUCUUAGUUGCAAGUUAUUUCUCAAGAUUAGAAUAGUUGUCCUAAAAAAACCAAAAAAAAUAUUUAGUUUUGCGUAGGAGUAGAAGUAGGAAAAAGUUAGAUUGUCUGUGUUGUGCAGGAAAAUGGAGAAAGCAUUCCUCUCUCAAUUCUAGAAGUCCAACUCAAAGCACUCAUCACUCUAAUGAGGGAAGCCAUGAGAGGAUGGAGGAAGGGGAGAGUCACCAUUGUUGGGUAUUUUAAACGCAAACAGAAAAAUCCGCAAGCGCACGGAUACCGAUGUAGCUUUCACCCGGGAGUAUUCCAGAGUAUCGAUUUUCCACAGGGAACGUGAGUGUACUAAUUAAGAUCCAAGAUCGCCCAAGGAUAACUAUAUAAUUACUUUUGGUGGGAAGAGAGGAAGUUUUCUGAGAGUUCUCUAGUUGAUCUAAGAAUCAAGAAUUACUUCAAGAUUAUCUAUAUCGGGACAUCAGAGCACUAACCACAGAAAGAGAUGAGAAGGGGGCUAGGAAGGUGUGACUACGGUCCUACAAACACCGAUCCGAACGAGGUGGAAUACGUCGACCGUUAGGGCUGUCACUACCCUAAGGCUACCACAACAAUCCGCAGGAUUGGGUGCAAUUCCAGGUAAUUGCAAGACUAAACACCACGUCUAAUCUAUUAAUUACUACUCUAAUGUUGCAAAGAUUAGAGCACUUGAUGCAAGCGAGAAUCCAAUAAAUAACUUGAAUGUAAAUAAAAGUAAUUAAAGAACUCAGGAUUAUGAAUUGAAGAACCUGGAGAACGAUGAAGAACGAACCAGUUGCUGCAAAAGUACAAUGUUGAGGAAGAUCCGACAGAUCCGGCUCCUCCUCCGCUCUCCUCUUCUCUCUCCCUAUUUUCUAGAUUACAACUAGAACUAACUAGAACUAGAACUAGAAGAACUAGAACUAGAACUAGAUGAACUAGAACUAGAUCUAGAUGAACUAGAGGUAGAACUAGAAGAACUAGAGGGAUCCUCUCUACUUGGAUGAAGAAUUGAAACCCUAGCUUUGAUUCUGUAGAAGAGGUAUGAUCUCCAGGGGCCAGGGGGGUCUGGUUUCAUAGUCCCUUCAAGUGAAUCUGGGCCGUCGGAUCAAACCGACAUUGAUCGUGUGGUUUUCCUUGAAGUAUUAGGUCGGUGGAGCAUGAUCCCCGAACUUCACCCUGAUUGGUCCAGGGGGAAGGGCGGGCGCCCUCAGGACUAGGGCGGGCGCCCUGACCCUCAGGCCUCUCGUCUUCCGCUUCGGUCCCGUGGCUUCUGGAGUCUUCUAGAUGAUAGAAAAUUACACGGCACGUUAAUAUCUCUAUGUAUACCCAACGUGUGGGCCUUUCCUCCAUAUUUCCUGAUAACCCCCUGCAGAAAUAGACAAACACCAAAACUCGUGGAAUUCUGUCAGAUAAAACCCUAAGUCUAGGUGUUGGUUGCAUUUGGAUCCUUUUCUAUGAUUAGUUGAUGGUUAAUUGUGAGCAUUAAGGACCGUCAACAAGCUCCCCCAAGCUUAACCUUUGCUCGUCCCUGAGCAAAGAUGGACUCAAGAGUUUCUACAGUGGUUUCAUAACUUAAAGAUACACAUGCGUUUAAACAAGAUCUCAUCUCUGGUUAGAGUAAACUGUUAAGACUUAAAACUUACUCAUUUACCUUUCACCAUGGGACUUGUAACCGUCACUUCUGUCUUGAGUAGUUAAAAGAUAGAACGGUCUAGUCAAGCACCAUGUCUCUUAUUCUUGAUCAGCUAUAGCUCUGGAGUUUUUGCAGAUUUUCAAAUAAAACUCAGAGAUUCCUUGUAUGACUCUCUCUAGUCUCUCUUUUGUGGUAUUUCUGGAUCCUUACCAAGGCAUUAAUGGUGUAUGCCUUCUCUCAAAGUAUGUGGUAUUUGUGGUAUGAGGCAUAGUGACAUUGCCUUCUCUCUCACCCUACUCUAAUAAGGCUUUUAAUAUCUGGAGCUCAUAGGUGGGAGACAGCUAAUACAUACUUACAAGACAUUUAUUGCAUAGUCAAACCAUGGAUCCAAAAGAACAAGUCAAUAAGUCAAAUCAAGAUGUGCAUGUGUGGCGAAUGAAUACCAUGGUGAAAGUCUAAUUCUACUUUUGCUCUUUUGAGGGGAUACAUACCUUCCUUGCUCUUUUGAAACUUUUGGGGAGAAUGAGAUGCUCUAUAUUUUAUUUUUCUUUCUUUUUUUUUCUCUCAGGUGGGUAUCUUGUACCCCUAAUUCUACUGUCGGACACUUGUCCAUUUUUACCUCUCGUCUCACUUUUUUUUCUUUUCUUUCGAGGUUUCGGGCACUUGCCCCCUUUUUAUUUCCUCGUAUUUAUUUUUUUCUCUCUCUUUUUUUUAGAGCACUCAUCUCAUGAGAUAAUAUAGCAAGUGGUAGUAACAAGAUAACUUGAGCAUUUAUUUCACAGGGGAAAAACAGAAAUAUUUUUGGCUAUUCUCUCCCGGAUUAGGAGUAGAAUAUUUUUGGGUGGUUCUGGAGAUGGAAAUGGAUAUAUGUGGAUGCGUACUUCCGGAGUAGAAGCAGCAUGUAUGAGUGAACAUGCAAGUGAAUCUUGACUUAACCACAUGACAAGCUCCUAAGGGUCUACACAGCUUGACCACACUCAAUGCUCAUAAGCAGUAGAGUAAAUGUGUGGCUCAAAGUUUAGCAAGCAUGUAUAUAUGGCUGUGGUAGGAAUUUAAACUCUCAUCAUACAGGAACUCAUCAUGUGAUAUUUUAAAGAUUUUUAAAGAUAAAAUUCUCCAGAAUUCUAGCAUCUCUAGGAACAGAUAAACAGCAACUCAACCUUCCCAUAUCAUAUCCGUUAACGACUUAGACUUUAGAUCAAGUACUCUUCCCACAAGUUCAGGUUUAAAGCAAAUCUUAAAUAAUAACAGUCAUGCCUAAACUUGAGAGAGAUUUCAAUUUUAGGAACUAGUCAUGGCAGAGCAACUAUUCAUCAUUUCCAUAUGAGAGCUUAUCAUGAGGGUUCAUAGCAAAUUUUAUUUAUUUAUUUAUUUAGCAAACUAAGCAAAGAUAUAUAUAAGCACAAAAUAUUUAUUUGGGUUUUUAUGAUUAUGCAUCUUUUUAUUAUUUGAGUAAAGUAUAAACGUGAGUAGAACACUUAGCUGGAUAAAUGGGGGUGCUCUCCCCCAAGCUGGAUUUUGACGUAAUUCCUUGUGAUGUAGCUAGCAGGUGGCGGAGGUGUAUUUGAAUGUUGGCAGCACCCUGACAGUGAUUAGGAUGUCCUCCGUUUGCUAGUCUUCUUUGAUCCUUGAAUUCUGUGGAGCUCAAAUAGACAACAAAGCUUUGUGGAACUGGUUAAGUGUUAGCAUAAAUAUCUAGCCUUUAUCAUGUUGAGCCUCCUCAAUAAAUAUUACACUCUUUAGUAGGAUCAUAAAUUUAUUUUUUAUAAUUUUAUCUUUAUAGGAUAGGAAUAUAUAUAUAUAUAUUUCAAUUUUAUGCCACCACAGUGAAUGUACUUAUGGGUUUUAUGCCAUGAGUAUACUCACAUGGGGCUUACUAUUUUUAAGAUUUUUAUUUUCUUUUCAAGAUGAUAUGAACCUGAUUAACUAAAAUAAUUGAAAGGAAAAAGAUAACUACCAAGUUUACCUCUUGGCAAGGCGUUCGGUGUUUUUACGUCCUCCGAACGGGACUCUCCGUUUUCUCAAUCGUCCUAGGAUUCGCUGGAUGGCGUAGUCGGUGGUUCCGGCGGCGCCUGCUCUUCAUGUAUAACUAUCUUCUCUCUACACACCUGACUCGGUGCUACGGUCUCCUCAGGACAGUUUUGUUCAAGCUGUAUGUCUUCAGACAUUACAACUUCUCCUUCAUAGUCUACCCAUCCGUCCUUGAUGAUCUGCCUUCUCUGGUUGCGGUUGCGUCGUCUUCUUCUUGUCCUGACCUGCUUA
RNAcentral lists this long non-coding RNA (23994 nucleotides) under Sorghum bicolor (sorghum). Its description in RNAcentral is "long non-coding RNA (SBIC_LNC012246)". Lineage: Eukaryota; Viridiplantae; Streptophyta; Magnoliopsida; Poales; Poaceae. The record is from RNAcentral.